CAAAAACCAGUGGCAAAACUGCUUUCAUCACAGCACCCAUACAGCAGACGAUAGGUAAAUUCAUAUGACAAAACAAAAGGCAUAGGAUAUCGAGACAUGUGCUGUACCACCCAAAAAAGAGAGGCGGACUGGGCCUCCCUAACUUAUUCUUUUAUUACCUAGCGGCACAAAUGACACAAGUUGCGAUGUGGCACUCGCCCCAAGAUAAAAGGAAAUGGGUGGAAAUAGAAUCCC
Molecule: non-coding RNA, 234 nt
Organism: Pelobates cultripes (western spadefoot toad)
Lineage: Eukaryota; Metazoa; Chordata; Amphibia; Anura; Pelobatidae
Source: the annotation of a GenBank genome assembly